GUUUUAGUAGUUUAUAUAAAACACUGGUCUUGUAAACCAAUAAUAAGAUUAUCUUCUAAAACU
Molecule: transfer RNA, 63 nt
Filed under: Zichya baranovi
Lineage: Eukaryota; Metazoa; Arthropoda; Insecta; Orthoptera; Tettigoniidae
Description: tRNA-Thr
Rfam family: tRNA
About the family: Transfer RNA (tRNA) molecules are approximately 80 nucleotides in length. Their secondary structure includes four short double-helical elements and three loops (D, anti-codon, and T loops).
Source: RNAcentral